This 301-nucleotide ribosomal RNA is filed under the name uncultured bacterium. Its description in RNAcentral is "partial 16S ribosomal RNA". It matches the Rfam family "Bacterial small subunit ribosomal RNA", at positions 509 to 809 of the family's 1533-position model. The record is from RNAcentral.
CAGUCGCCACGGUAAUACGUAGGUGGCAAGCGUUGUCCGGAAUUAUUGGGCGUAAAGGGCUCGCAGGCGGUUUCUUAAGUCUGAUGUGAAAGCCCCCGGCUCAACCGGGGAGGGCCAUUGGAAACUGGGAAACUUGAGUGCAGAAGAGGAGAGUGGAAUUCCACGUGUAGCGGUGAAAUGCGUAGAGAUGUGGAGGAACACCAGUGGCGAAGGCGACUCUCUGGUCUGUAACUGACGCUGAGAAGCGAAAGCGUGGGGAGCGAACAGGAUUAGAUACCCCCGUAGUCCCUGUCUCUUAUAA